Molecule: ribosomal RNA, 515 nt
Filed under: uncultured bacterium
Lineage: Bacteria
Description: partial 16S ribosomal RNA
Rfam family: Bacterial small subunit ribosomal RNA
Source: RNAcentral
GAUGAACGCUGGCGGCGUGCCUAAUACAUGCAAGUCGAGCGAAUGGAUUAAGAGCUUGCUCUUAUGAAGUUAGCGGCGGACGGGUGAGUAACACGUGGGUAACCUGCCCAUAAGACUGGGAUAACUCCGGGAAACCGGGGCUAAUACCGGAUAACAUUUUGAACCGCAUGGUUCGAAAUUGAAAGGCGGCUUCGGCUGUCACUUAUGGAUGGACCCGCGUCGCAUUAGCUAGUUGGUGAGGUAACGGCUCACCAAGGCAACGAUGCGUAGCCGACGGGAGGGGGGGAUCGGCCACACGGGGACUGGGACCCGGCCCGGACUCCUAGGGGAGGAAGAAGUAGGGAAUCUUCCGAAAUGAACGGGGGUCUGACGGAGCAACGCCGAGUGAGUGAUGAAGGCUUUCGGGUCGUAAAACUCUGUUGUUAGGGAAGAACAAGUGCUAGUUGAAUAAGCUGGCACCUUGACGGUACCUAACCAGAAAGCCACGGCUAACUACUUGCCAGCCGCCGCGGUAA